UAUAUACAUAUUGAAUAGGUGCAGGUAUAUACAUAUUGAAUAGGUGCAGGUAUAUACGUAUUGAAUAGGUGCAGGUAUAUACAUAUUGAAUAGGUGCAGGUAUAUACGUAUUGAAUAGGUGCAGGUAUAUACAUAUUGAAUAGGUGCAGGUAUAUACGUAUUGAAUAGGUGCAGGUAUAUACGUAUUGAAUAGGUGCAGGUAUAUACAUAUUGAAUAGGUGCAGGUAUAUACGUAUUGAAUAGGUGCAGGUAUAUACGUAUUGAAUAGGUGCAGGUAUAUACGUAUUGAAUAGGUGCAGGUAUAUACGUAUUGAAUAGGUGCAGGUAUAUACAUAUUGAAUAGGUGCAGGUAUAUACGUAUUGAAUAGGUGCAGGUAUAUACAUAUUGAAUAGGUGCAGGUAUAUACAUAUUGAAUAGGUGCAGGUAUAUACAUAUUGAAUAGGUGCAGGUAUAUACAUAUUGAAUAGGUGCAGGUAUAUACGUAUUGAAUAGGUGCAGGUAUAUACGUAUUGAAUAGGUGCAGGUAUAUACAUAUUGAAUAGGUGCAGGUAUAUACAUAUUGAAUAGGUUCAGGUAUAUACGUAUUGAAUAGGUUCAGGUAUAUACAUAUUGAAUAGGUGCAGGUAUAUACAUAUUGAAUAGGUGCAGGUAUAUACAUAUUGAAUAGGUGCAGGUAUAUACGUAUUGAAUAGGUGCAGGUAUAUACGUAUUGAAUAGGUGCAGGUAUAUACGUAUUGAAUAGGUGCAGGUAUAUACAUAUUGAAUAGGUGCAGAUAUAUACAUAUUGAAU
Oncorhynchus keta (chum salmon) is the source of this 791-nucleotide long non-coding RNA. RefSeq lists it as uncharacterized. The record is from RefSeq and is a predicted model, not a curated record. The transcript has 5 exons. Lineage: Eukaryota; Metazoa; Chordata; Actinopteri; Salmoniformes; Salmonidae.